RNAcentral lists this ribosomal RNA (433 nucleotides) under uncultured bacterium. Its description in RNAcentral is "bacterial SSU rRNA". It matches the Rfam family "Bacterial small subunit ribosomal RNA", at positions 29 to 507 of the family's 1533-position model. The record is from RNAcentral.
AACGAACGCUGGCGGCAGGCCUAACACAUGCAAGUCGAACGCCCUAGCAAUAGGGAGUGGCAGACGGGUGAGUAACACGUGGGAACCUUCCCUAUAGUAUGGAAUAGCCCAGGGAAACUUGGAGUAAUACCGUAUACGCCCGAGAGGGGAAAGAUUUAUCGCUAUAGGAUGGGCCCGCGCAGGAUUAGCUAGUUGGUGAGGUAAUGGCUCACCAAGGCGACGAUCCUUAGCUGGUCUGAGAGGACGACCAGCCACACUGGGACUGAGACACGGCCCAGACUCCUACGGGAGGCAGCAGUGGGGAAUAUUGGACAAUGGGCGCAAGCCUGAUCCAGCCAUGCCGCGUGAGUGAUGAAGGCCUUAGGGUUGUAAAGCUCUUUUGCCGGGGACGAUAAUGACGGUACCCGGAGAAUAAGUCCCGGCUAACUUCGUG